RNAcentral lists this long non-coding RNA (218 nucleotides) under Homo sapiens (human). RNAcentral's name for it is "HSALNT0154413". Lineage: Eukaryota; Metazoa; Chordata; Mammalia; Primates; Hominidae. The record is from RNAcentral.
GGCUUGCUCUUGUGUCUGCCUUUCUCGGCUGUCAGGAGGACAUUGUACUCCUGUCCUGGUUCCAGGCCUCUCAGGACAUAGGAAGUGGUGUUUCUUGGAAGCUGCACUCCCACCCACUGGCCUGUGGGGAGACUGUAAUUGAGGCGGUAGCGGUCAAAUUUGGCCAACGGUGUCUUCCAGAGCAGGGUCAGGCUGGUCUCUGCAGUUUCAGAAACCUG